GGCAGAACGAGAAAGCAAUAAAAGACAACACACACAGGAAGAAGGUCUCUCUCUCAGGGGAAGGAUAACAGCGAGUGGUAUGCUAAAGGUAGUCGUGGCUUUUGUUCUGAUUUCUUAGGCUUUAACUCUGUAUUUGGUUCUGUGUUUCUUAUUUAAUAAGACUGUUUAGAAUUUCGUCUACAGUCAAUUGCAUAUCUUCCUGGCAAAAAUGGGAUCUGGGCUCAAGGGCACGGCCAUCCUGUCAGUAACCACAAGGAAGGAUGUUCUGCAAUGUGGGAAGGAAGAAGGCAGAAUCAUGAAAGAAGUUGCUGGUCACAAGGAGGUGGAGAUGGGAAGGUCCUCCUCCAUCUGUCCUCCACAUGAGAAAACUCAGGGGUUGUGGGCCCCUUGACCCCAAUUCUUCCUGACUCCUGAGCACCCCAGGGUCCCUGCACAGGGCUCCUCUCCUUCCUGAUGGCUCUGCUGGUCUCACUUCCUGGAGGGAAUCAGGCCAUCACUUGGAUCCUGCUUCUGCUGAUGUCAGCUGCAUGGCUGCAAGGUGGUAACUCAGCAGGAUCCAAGAAUAAAAGUACCUUUGGAGUCAACCAACCAACAAACCUCUCCAGUGUCCAGGGCGGCUCCAUCGAGAUCCCCUUCUCCUUCUCCUUCCCCUGGGAGAUGGCACAGAAUCCACAGAUGAGGAUUCUCUGGAAAUGGCAACACCUCCUUGGGGAAUUUAUCUACAACUCCUCCUCAGGUUACAUACAUGAGCAUUUCAAGAACCGGCUCUUCCUGAACUGGACACAGCCUCAGACAUCCGGAGUCCUGAGAAUCCUGGACUUGAAGGAGAAGGACCAGACAGUGUACUUUUGCCAAGUUCAACUGAACACAACAGAAGGCAUGAAGGGUUUGCAGUCAAUUGCAGGGACCCAGCUGACCAUCACCCAUGGCAUCAGCACCACCAUGCAGAGCCCCUCCAUCAUCACCUCUGCAGUCACCACAGCUGGCCUGGAGGACACAGAGGGCCAGAGGAAUCCUUCACUUGUGAACCUGGGAGCCACGGUCGGGGUGGUUUUGGCCACGGCUGUGCUCAUAACCCCCAUCUGUGUAUUGAUGAUCUUCCUCUGGAGGAAGAAAAGGCCAGCAGACUAAAGAUGAACCCCAGCCAUGGAGAGCCUGUCAUCCCAAGGAGCAGCUGAGGGCUGUGUGGGGAAGUUUGUUAUGAGAGGCAUCCAAGGGAGAAGAGAGAUGAUUCAGUCAGAAAAGCCUUGCACAUAGGCAGGAGGACCUGAGCUUGAACUGGAGAACCCACAUUAUAAGCCAGUGGGGUGGCAAGAAUUGUAAUCUCCUUGCUGGACAAGCAAGAGCCUUUCAGAAACAUGGGGGUUGGCUGUUCAGAUACUCCAGCCAAAUUGGGAUCCAAAUGGUACAAGAAGAAAACUGACUGGAAAAUUGUCCUCCUCCUCUCUGGGUCAUCCACAGGCACCUGCUGAGACAUUGUCUGUUAGUUCCCAGCUAACAGACUCCAGGGUCCAGGAUCUCUCACCAGGGAGGUCCCUUUACAUCAUGUGGUUGUCACACAUGCAGCAUCUCCCCACUUCCCUGCCUCCUGCCUGGGAAUCAGGGAGCAUGGCUGCAGGCUUGUGUGUGAAACAUCCUGUCCUUGGACAAGUACAAGAAGAGAACCCCCACUUCUGCCCUGUGGGCUCUGAUGUCCUCCCAUCAGAACACGUGUCAAUUUGUCUGUCUCUGGUCCUGAGAGCCCUACUGUGCUGUUUCCUGUGUCUAUGCAAUCAAUAACACUUUCUAAUAAAUAUCUUACUCCCAGCAAUCCA
RNA transcript from Peromyscus leucopus (white-footed mouse), 1814 nucleotides. It is a transcript of the gene named paired immunoglobulin-like type 2 receptor beta-2, with no coding region annotated. NCBI's taxonomy places the organism in Eukaryota, Metazoa, Chordata, Mammalia, Rodentia, Cricetidae. The record is from RefSeq and is a predicted model, not a curated record. The transcript is spliced from 5 exons.